GGAAGUUAAGAAACUGUUUCUUAACUUUUAACUAAAAAAGCUAAGAACCGGUUCUUAAAGUCCUUAUUUAAGAACCGGUUCUUAGUUUUUUUAGUUAAAAGUUAAGAAACAGUUUUUUAACUUCC
Brassica napus (rape) is the source of this 125-nucleotide non-coding RNA. The record is from Rfam. Lineage: Eukaryota; Viridiplantae; Streptophyta; Magnoliopsida; Brassicales; Brassicaceae.